AUUGCGUUUCAAAUAUACUUUUUUUACAACGAGUCUACAAAGGAGUGGUUCAGUUACAACAGACAAUUAAUUCUUGUGUUUUGAACGUUUGGAAUGUACUCUAUUUGGCUCAAUUGAACGCAACGGACGUGAUCGCAAGUCCUUGUUGAACUUCAGUAUAUAUUGACUUUCCCCGUAGGAAGGGAUUGCCAAUAAUUGAAUGUUCGCUUUCUAUUGGUGUGUGAUCUCAAAAUUGCAUGUAUUUGUGAUGGCGAGUGAUCUAAUCCCUUAGGAAAACUUGGGCGACCGCUGUAAUACUUCUCUUUAAAACAGAGGCAGGUUGCGGCAAUAACAGGUCUGUGAUGCCCUCAGAUGUCCCGGGCCGCA
Molecule: ribosomal RNA, 366 nt
Filed under: Globigerinella calida
Lineage: Eukaryota; Foraminifera; Rotaliida; Globigerinidae
Description: partial 18S ribosomal RNA
Source: RNAcentral